CCGGCCGCCCGCGCGGGGCUCGGCUAGCGCUGCCUUUCCGGCCUCCACGUGGGUCUGUCGCCAUGGCGGCCCCGGAGCAGCCAGCCGGGAGCGCGGCCCCCGCCGCUGCCGCCGCAGCCCGGGGCCCCGCGCGGCGGGUGGCGAAGCAGGUCCCCGAGGAGAUCCUCCACAACCAGGAGCUCCAGGAAGCCGUCAAGGUCCUGCCCAGCAACUACAACUUCGAGAUCCCCAAGACCGUGUGGAGGGUUCGGCAGGCUCAGGCCAGGAAGGUGGCCCUGCAGAUGCCCGAAGGCCUCCUCAUGUUCGCGUGCACCAUCGCGGACAUCAUCGAGCGGUUCACCGGAGCGGAGGCCGUGGUGAUGGGCGACGUGACCUACGGCGCCUGCUGCGUGGACGACUUCACGGCCGAGGCCCUGGGCGCCGACUUCCUCGUGCACUACGGCCACAGCUGCCUGAUUCCCAUCGACGCCACACGAGGGAUGAAGAUGCUCUACGUGUUCGUGGACAUAAAGAUCGACACGUCCCACUUCCUCGAGACCCUGCGCUUCAACUUCCCCGCCGGCGCCUCGCUGGCCCUCGUCAGCACCAUCCAGUUCGUGUCGGCGCUGCAGGCGGCCUCGCAGGAGCUGCGCUCCCAGUACAAGGUGUGCGUGCCCCAGUGCAAGCCCCUCUCGCCCGGCGAGAUCCUGGGCUGCACGUCUCCCCGGCUCGCGCAGGACACGGACGCUAUCGUGUACCUGGGCGACGGGCGCUUCCACCUGGAGUCCGUCAUGAUCGCCAACCCGGGCAUCCCUGCCUACAGGUACGAUCCCUACAGCAAGGUCUUCUCGCAGGAGCACUACGCCCACGAGCGCAUGCGCCGCGCUCGGCAGGAGGCCAUCCGUGCCGCGGCCAGCGCCCGCCGCUGGGGACUCGUCCUGGGGACACUGGGGCGCCAGGGCUCCCCCCGCAUCCUGCAGCACCUGGAGUCGCGUCUCCGCGCCCUGGGACGGCCCUUCGUGCGGGUGCUGCUCUCCGAGAUCUUCCCCAGCAAGCUGCAGCUCUUCCCUGACGUGGACGCCCUCUGAAACACUCGCGGCAGCCUGGGCCGGUUCGUGCGCUGCUCUCGCUCCGCUGGACGUGGCUAAGCAUGAUGGAGAGAGGAGCAGAUUGCUCGUGACGGGGACGCGGCCGGGACCGGGCGGCAGUGAGGACGCAGGGGUGAGCGUCGUGCUGCGCUUCCCUUCCAGGUGGGUGCAGGUCGCCUGUCCCCGGCUCUCCAUCGACUGGGGAGAAGCCUUCAGCAAGCCGCUGCUGACGCCCUACGAGGCGGCCGUGGCGCUCCGGGACGUCGAGUGGCAGCAGCCGUACCCCAUGGAUUUCUACGCCAGCCAGUCCC
This is an RNA transcript of Dromaius novaehollandiae (emu), 1378 nucleotides long. It is a transcript of the gene named diphthamide biosynthesis 1, with no coding region annotated. The record is from RefSeq and is a predicted model, not a curated record. NCBI's taxonomy places the organism in Eukaryota, Metazoa, Chordata, Aves, Casuariiformes, Dromaiidae. The transcript has 11 exons.